CGAGGCCCCGCGUUUGCGGAGUGAAAACGGCAAUUAGGCCUCGCAAUUAGCUCGAUGCGACGGAAUCUUCAAUGCGGCGUCUGAAGUGGACGGAGCUUUUCAAAAUAUCCGGAAUUAUGGAGGUGGAAGUUUCACACAGCUGAAAGUCCUGCUGUAUGGCAUAAAUCAACUUUUUGUAACACCUCUCAAGCUGGAAGGAAGGAAGGAAGGAAGGAAGGAAGGAAGAAAGGAAGAAAUCUUUCUUGCUAUUCUGCUCAAGCAUAUGUAAAUAGAGUGAGGCUCAUGGAAUACCACUCAAGGAACAAGUUUUGUGGAAUCCUGGUUUUAAGGAGCUGUGCAAUCUUUUCUUCAACCCUUAAUGGUUCACUCCUUCCUUCCUAAUGGCUUGCUGAUUCCUUCCCCAAGAAAGAAAGUUGAAGAAAGUAUGCUGGGAGUAUUCUGCAAGUCAUGUCCUAACUCUAAGAAGAACACAUAGAUGGGAUUAGGAUAUUAUAGGUUAAAAGCCAAUCCCAUCUCCAAAU
Crotalus tigris (Tiger rattlesnake) is the source of this 521-nucleotide long non-coding RNA. RefSeq lists it as uncharacterized. Lineage: Eukaryota; Metazoa; Chordata; Lepidosauria; Squamata; Viperidae. The record is from RefSeq and is a predicted model, not a curated record. The transcript has 5 exons.